RNAcentral lists this ribosomal RNA (325 nucleotides) under uncultured eukaryote. Its description in RNAcentral is "partial 18S ribosomal RNA". It matches the Rfam family "Eukaryotic small subunit ribosomal RNA", at positions 1470 to 1796 of the family's 1831-position model. The record is from RNAcentral.
CCCUUAGAUGUUCUGGGCCGCACGCGCGCUACACUGAUGCAUUCAACGAGCCUAUCCUUGACCGACAGGUCCGGGUAAUCUUUGAAUCUGCAUCGUGACGGGGAUAGAUUAUUGCAAUUAUUAAUCUUCAACGAGGAAUGCAUAGUAGGCGCAAGUCAUCAGCUUGCGUCGAUUACGUCCCUGCCCUUUGUACACACCGCCCGUCGCUCCUACCGAUUGGGUGUGCUGGUGAAAUGUUCGGAUCGGCCGUUUGUCGCGGUUUCCGCGUCAUGUGGCUGAGAAGUUCAUUAAACCCUCCCACCUAGAGGAAGGAGAAGUCGUAACA